This 86-nucleotide small nucleolar RNA is filed under the name Otolemur garnettii (small-eared galago). RNAcentral describes it as "Small nucleolar RNA SNORD70 (ENSOGAG00000019289.1)". The record is from RNAcentral. Lineage: Eukaryota; Metazoa; Chordata; Mammalia; Primates; Galagidae.
UUCUUUUUCUUAAGAAUUAAAUUCCUGGAACUGAAUCUAAGUGAUAUAACUCAAAUGUUCAUCACUACCACUGAGAGGGCAAUGAC